This 1368-nucleotide ribosomal RNA is filed under the name uncultured bacterium. Its description in RNAcentral is "bacterial SSU rRNA". It matches the Rfam family "Bacterial small subunit ribosomal RNA", at positions 28 to 1381 of the family's 1533-position model. The record is from RNAcentral.
GACGAACGCUGGCGGCGUGCCUAAUACAUGCAAGUAGAACGCUGAAGAGAGGAGCUUGCUCUUCUUGGAUGAGUUGCGAACGGGUGAGUAACGCGUAGGUAACCUGCCUUGUAGCGGGGGAUAACUAUUGGAAACGAUAGCUAAUACCGCAUAACAAUGGAUGACACAUGUCAUUUAUUUGAAAGGGGCAAUUGCUCCACUACAAGAUGGACCUGCGUUGUAUUAGCUAGUAGGUGAGGUAAUGGCUCACCUAGGCGACGAUACAUAGCCGACCUGAGAGGGUGAUCGGCCACACUGGGACUGAGACACGGCCCAGACUCCUACGGGAGGCAGCAGUAGGGAAUCUUCGGCAAUGGGGGCAACCCUGACCGAGCAACGCCGCGUGAGUGAAGAAGGUUUUCGGAUCGUAAAGCUCUGUUGUAAGUCAAGAACGGGUGUGAGAGUGGAAAGUUCACACUGUGACGGUAGCUUACCAGAAAGGGACGGCUAACUACGUGCCACCAGCCGCGGUAAUACGUAGGUCCCGAGCGUUGUCCGGAUUUUUUGGGCGUAAAGCGAGCGCAGGCGGUUUGAUAAGUCUGAAGUUAAGGCUGUGGCUCAACCAUAGUUCGCUUUGGAAACUGUCAAACUUGAGUGCAGAAGGGGAGAGUGGAAUUCCAUGUGUAGCGGUGAAAUGCGUAGAUAUAUGGAGGAACACCGGUGGCGAAAGUGGCUCUCUGGUCUGUAACUGACGCUGAGGCUCGAAAGCGUGGGGAGCGAACAGGAUUAGAUACCCUGGUAGUCCACGCCGUAAACGAUGAGUGCUAGGUGUCGGAUCCUUUCCGGGAUUCAGUGCCGCAGCUAACGCAUUAAGCACUCCGCCUGGGGAGUACGACCGCAAGGUUGAAACUCAAAGGAAUUGACGGGGGCCCGCACAAGCGGUGGAGCAUGUGGUUUAAUUCGAAGCAACGCGAAGAACCUUACCGGGUCUUGACAUCCCGAUGCUAUUUCUAGGGAUAGAAAGUUACUUCGGUACAUCGGUGACAGGUGGUGCAUGGUUGUCGUCAGCUCGUGUCGUGAGAUGUUGGGUUAAGUCCCGCAACGAGCGCAACCCCUAUUGUUAGUUGCCAUCAUUCAGUUGGGCACUCUAGCGAGACUGCCGGUAAUAAACCGGAGGAAGGUGGGGAUGACGUCAAAUCAUCAUGCCCCUUAUGACCUGGGCUACACACGUGCUACAAUGGUUGGUACAACGAGUUGCGAGUCGGUGACGGCGAGCUAAUCUCUUAAAGCCAAUCUCAGUUCGGAUUGUAGGCUGCAACUCGCCUACAUGAAGUCGGAAUCGCUAGUAAUCGCGGAUCAGCACGCCGCGGUGAAUACGUUCCCGGGCCU